UGUCUCAGUAGUAGUACCAGUUCCUAGUAACCAGUUACCAGUAACCAGUGUACCAGUAGAUGACUCACUACCAACCGUCUCUGCGUGAAUCACUGACUGUAUUCAUAUUGCUGCUGACCAUAGCAGGAUUUCAAACACCCCCUCGCCCAUAAGCACUCACGGGUCAGUCUAGUCAGGGAGCCAGAGAGAGGCAGGUCGGCUGUUGGCGCUUCCCACACUUUCCGUUAUAUUAUACGUACUACCAGCCUACAUGGUGUGUGUGGUAAUGCUGGCUGGUCUACUGGUACUGGCGGCCAUGACAGUGACUACAUCAGAUGGUGGCCGCCUUGACCACGACGUGAAAAGUCUCUCUCCGUAGUGUUGGAGGAGAGAUCUGACGCACCCAGGAGGCAGGAGCGAUUCUUCGCCAUCUUCACCGGUACCUUCAUUCGCAGUCUCACAACCACCACCAUAACAGCGCUCUCCACUUGCCUCUCCUUUGAUGGUUCUGUUGGCUGCCUUGGUAGACGCAAGAAGAAGCGCUCCAGUUACCCUGAACUGCAACACGAUAAAGAUUUGUUGCUGGAGUUGACGGGAAGCCAGACAGAGGUGGAGACGAAUGAAGAGGAAGCUUAUCCACCGCGGCGAGGCUCCAGGCAGCUGGUGAACAACAGAGAUGGUAAAAUACUCACCAUCUGGUACACCUCGGUCAGUACAAUCACCCUCACCUCCACUUCCUACCUCGUUGGUACCACCAUCUCCGUCAGUGCCUACUGUGUUGCACCAGGAGUCUCAGAGGGAUGCUUCGGGAAGUAGCGAGAGCUUCCGGAGGCUGCUUCCUGUACUGUAGGUUCCAUGGCAACGAUCACGUACCAGCAUCAACUAUAGUGCUUCAUUAUUUAAACCC
Non-coding RNA from Cherax quadricarinatus, 886 nucleotides. Lineage: Eukaryota; Metazoa; Arthropoda; Malacostraca; Decapoda; Parastacidae. The record is from RefSeq and is a predicted model, not a curated record.